Molecule: transfer RNA, 72 nt
Filed under: Rickettsiales bacterium (ex Bugula neritina AB1)
Lineage: Bacteria; Pseudomonadati; Pseudomonadota; Alphaproteobacteria; Rickettsiales
Description: tRNA-Gln
Rfam family: tRNA
About the family: Transfer RNA (tRNA) molecules are approximately 80 nucleotides in length. Their secondary structure includes four short double-helical elements and three loops (D, anti-codon, and T loops). Further hydrogen bonds mediate the characteristic L-shaped molecular structure. tRNAs have two regions of fundamental functional importance: the anti-codon, which is responsible for specific mRNA codon recognition, and the 3' end, to which the tRNAs corresponding amino acid is attached (by aminoacyl-tRNA synthetases). tRNAs cope with the degeneracy of the genetic code in two manners: having more than one tRNA (with a specific anti-codon) for a particular amino acid; and 'wobble' base-pairing, i.e. permitting non-standard base-pairing at the 3rd anti-codon position.
Source: RNAcentral
UGAGAUGUAGCCAAGUGGUAAGGCAACGGUUUUUGGGUCCGUGAUGCAUAGGUUCGAAUCCUAUCAUCUCAG